GAUGAACGCUGGCGGCGUGCCUAAUACAUGCAAGUCGAGCGAACAGACGAGGAGCUUGCUCCUUUGACGUUAGCGGCGGACGGGUGAGUAACACGUAGGUAACCUACCUAUAAGACUGGGAUAACUUCGGGAAACCGGAGCUAAUACCGGAUAAUAUUUCGAACCGCAUGGUUCGAUAGUGAAAGAUGGCUUUGCUAUCACUUAUAGAUGGAUCUGCGCUGUAUUAGCUAGUUGGUAAGGUAACGGCUUACCAAGGCAACGAUGCGUAGCCGACCUGAGAGGGUGAUCGGCCACACUGGAACUGAGACACGGUCCAGACUCCUACGGGAGGCAGCAGUAGGGAAUCUUCCGCAAUGGGCGAAAGCCUGACGGAGCAACGCCGCGCGAGUGAUGAAGGUCUUCGGAUCGUAAAACUCUGUUAUUAGGGAAGAACAAAUGUGUAAGUAACUGUGCACGUCUUGACGGUACCUAAUCAGAAAGCCACGGCUAACUACGUG
RNAcentral lists this ribosomal RNA (497 nucleotides) under uncultured bacterium. RNAcentral describes it as "partial 16S ribosomal RNA". It matches the Rfam family "Bacterial small subunit ribosomal RNA", at positions 28 to 507 of the family's 1533-position model. The record is from RNAcentral.